AUGGAGGCGCCACUGUCCGUAUACGAUCAACCACUCCGACUCCGCCGGGAGCGCCGGCGUCCCCUCGUUGCCCGUGGCGAGGAUCGCCUUGGCGCACUCCCCGACGAUGUGCUCCAUCUCGUGCUCCGCCGCCUUGACACCCGGUCCGCGCUAGCCACCUCCGCGCUCUCCAGGCGCUGGGCGUGCCUCCCGCGGGAGCUCCCCACGCUCGAGUUCAAGGUCCGCGACAUCCUCUCCCAGCGCUACAAUCAGUACCUCCAGCGUCGUACCGACGCCGCGAACAGCCGCGUGAAACCCUGUUCAAUUAAGAAGCUCGAUGUCGUCCUCAGCCGGUACGAGCGCCGUGGUAUGCGCUCGCUGGCCGAUUCCCUCGGCGGCUUCCUUCAUGCGGACGACGCCAAUCCACGCCGGGGCGUGCACAGCGUCAAACUGGAGAUCUUCCCCACUCACAAUUCCGGUAACUUGAACCGACUCGUUGCCACGGCCGUCUGCGGCUGGGGAGUAGAAGACCUUGAGGUCGUCGUCCUCAACCCAGACGCGCGUCACAGCGCGGGCUACAGCUUCCCGCAUCAUUGUUUCGCUGAUUCCAGUUUUCCCAAUGGCGGCGUGAAGCUGAAAACGUUGAAGCUGAGCAACUGUGCUCCUCUCGCAGCCAGACCGGACGCAAACACGGCGACAGCACGCGCAUUCAGCGCGCUCACCGUCCUUGUCCUGCAAGACAUGCCGAGGACGACUCGCGGCCGCGUCUACGAGGCCGUCAUCCGGGCGUGCCCGGCGCUGGAGGUGCUGCACCUCAGGUCGUGCGGUUGCCGCAGGAGGUCCUUCUCGGUAGACGCGCCCGACUCGCGGAUUACAGAGCUACUCAUCGAGUUCACCGGCCGCGCGUACGGGAAGAUCGAGCUGCGCGCCCUGCCGAGGCUCGAGAGGCUGGCGUGCAUGGGCGCUCCACUCGACCUCAAGUUCGGCUGCGUGCCGCAGCUGGCGGGCCUCAACCUCAGCUACGACGAAGACGCCAAUUCCAAAACUCCACAGUUCGUGUUGUUCGGCGUACGAACUACGUGCCUUCUCAGCAGCUUCUUGACCAACCUCACGGGCCUAGAGGACCUCGUCCUCGGGUUCACCGGUCCUGAGAUGUGGAUAGUACGACCUCUCGACGACAUGCCGCAGUUGGGUAAGCUGAAGAGACUACUCGUGGCGGACAUGCCGUCGUCGUGGGACAUCACUUGGAUCCGUUACGUCCUGGAGGCCGCGCCUUCCCUUGAGACUCUGCACAUUCACGUCGCCGACGAUGAUGACGUGGGUUCCGGGGGAACGGUGGGCAAUAAGCUGAUCCAUUGGCCGUCGUCGUCGUUGGAGUUCAAGCACCAGUGUCUCCGUGAGGUGGUGGUGGGCGGCUUCCAAGGUACGCGGAGGCAGGUGCAAUUCGUGAGGUUCCUCAGGCGUGCGUGCACAGCGCUGCGAGAGGUCGUGCUUCUCAGGCAUGGCCAUGUAGUAGAGAAGGGGCUCUGGGAUUGGGAGACACUGGCUCCAAAGCAGGAGUGCCAAUGGAAUGAGGAGAGACAUGCAACGAUGAGUGAGAUCGAGGAUGGCACAGAUGAUAUUGCUUGCUGCGCAUCUCGAAUAGUUUUUGGAUGA
This 1635-nucleotide ribosomal RNA is filed under the name Triticum aestivum (bread wheat). Its description in RNAcentral is "partial small subunit ribosomal RNA". The record is from RNAcentral. Lineage: Eukaryota; Viridiplantae; Streptophyta; Magnoliopsida; Poales; Poaceae.